ACUCCGGAGCCGGAAAGGCACCGACUGCACCGACCUGCCCGCCGCCUCCGGGGCGGAGCGCACAAAGGGGCAAAGUUUCCCGGCCCGCGCCGCCGCCGCCACCACCGUCGCGGCCGCCGCCGCCGCCGCCUGGGGCUCCCGCCUCCCGGAGCGCCCGGCCCGACCGAGCUCAGCGCGCGGAGCCCCCCGCCCGGGCCGAGGAGGGGACGGCGCAGGAGGAAGGAAGAGGCAGCGGCGGCCGCGGCGGCAGCAGCAGCAGCAAUGAAGGCGUCCGCGGGACUCCCCGCCCCCCGCGCACCGCGGCACGUGCUCGCCCGGGGACUCCCCCGCCCGGGAGGGCGCACACGUGCGGCCCCGCCGAGCCCCGCCGGCCCGGCCGGGCCCCGGGCCGGGCGAGAGGGGGGUGGUUCCCGCGGAGGGGAGGGGUCGGGUGGGCGGCCUGCGAGCGGCUUGGGGCAGGCUCCGGCCCGGCCGCCGCUUCUCUGCACCUGCAGUGGCUCCCACCCACGCGGUCGGCCCUCCCGGGAGGCGGCCGCCCCCUUCGGGUUGGCCACCCUCGCCCUCCGGCGGGGCUGCAGCCGGGGCCGGCGAGGCGGGGUGGGGCACGCGGACCUUCCAGCCUAGGCCCUCGGCCGAGCCUCGCUCGGUGUCCCCACUUCCUGCCACUCCCUGCGGGCCAGAUCUGUCCGGGACAGCCCCGGCGCCCCCGGGAGGCCUGAGCGCCGGGCCCGACUGACCCCCCUGUCCCAGCUGCCGCUGGCUCAUUCCGAGGCAGGACAAUGGGGGACAUCGCGCGUUUGCGUACCGAGUCAGCCUGGCCGGCAAGAAGGGGUUGCUCGGGGGCAGAGGCUAAGGGCACCCUCGCAGGGGUCACGGCCGAAUGCCCUGUCCAGGUGGACCCCACGGCCCUGCCAUCACCAGCCUCCCCCGCGCCGCGCUCGAUUCUUUCGCGUCGAAAACAAAGACUAAUCCGAUACCCCCGCCCUGCCUCCCAGAGGAGGGGGAACGGGCGCGUCGCGGAGGGUAACUGAGGAGGACAGCGUUCAGGAGGGCCUCGGACAGCCUCGAGGGGGCCGUGGGGCGACUAAGCCCUAAAACCCGGCGCAGACACUUUGAAGAGUCACCCUGGGCUACGUUCCAGGCAGGGGGUAAGGGGCAGGGCUCAGGAAUAUUUCCAAGUUGCCAAACUGCCCGUUCUCUCUGCUGCUUUUUUCCCUCACCUGUUGUGCAGGCCAAGUUGAAAUUCCAGGUUAGAUUAAUUCAGCCCCACCCAUCUGGCCUGACUGCCAGGCUGGUGCCUGCAACUGCCUUCCACCUACCUCGGUUGCAGGGGAGCAGGGUGGGUCUCUGACAUACACGCGCACACACACACUCGGGCGAGUCCUGGCAGAAACAGCCACAGGACGGACUGGCCUGACCAGUUUGGGCGGUGCUCACGGAGCCAGGUACCUGGCAGGCGUCGCCGCCCGGCUGCAGCUAACAGCUUAGCCAGAACUGGAAAAAGAGCAUUCGGCCGGCUAUUUAGAAAGAAAGAAAAAAAAGUAACUGAUCUGAAGUAGCGCUGUCCAGAAAGCCCUAGGCGGUAAAGCAGCCCGGGUUCUAUCUGGAACUUCCCUCUGAUUUUGACAGCCUGCUCCAGGGUCCAGGUUGUCAGCGAGGGAGUGGGUGGGGGUGAACAUGGCUGCAAUAUCCACUUCCUACCAUGGCCUUUGGGAGGACUGAAGAGUUUCUGUUCAGGGUAGUAAGACUAGAACCGAGACGAAAAACCAAGAGAGUGCAAUUUUCAAACAGGGGAACAGGUUGCAGACUCGUAAUUGUUUUUAAUGUAAUAUAUUUUUAAUAAGCAACUUUAUUAAUAAAAAAUGUGUAUAAAGAAGACGUGGAGACUACAGAUACUAGAGGGGAAAAAUCACCAAAUUACAACCAUAUUUAACCAUUUGCUAUAUUUCCUUGUAGCCUUUCCUAUUUGUGGAUUUACUCACACUGAUUAUACAAUUUGCCAUCCUCUUUUAACUUAACAUUGUACCAUAGGCAUUUCCCUGUUUGGUAUACAGUUUUCAGAAAGUGUGACAGUGAGGUGAAGAAGAUGGCUCAGGAGCCAGAGAACUCUGGCUUCCAAACCUGAAUCUGCCACUUGGUAACAGUGUGACCUUGGACUAGGUACUCCAUCUUCAAGGGAAUCCAAGUAAAAGACUUAAUAUAGGGCUCAAUGAAUGACAACAACUAAUAUUGUUUAAUCCAUAUGACAACCUUGUGAGGUAGGUACUAUCAUCAAACCCAUUUUAUGGAUAAGAAAACAGAUUAAAUAACUUGCCCAGGAUCACUCAGCUAGUAAGUUGUGGACUUUCAGAGGAGCCCAGCAGCCAUCCUCUUGUAUUCUGUCUGGGUAAAUGGCACCAGCAAGUUACUGUGUCAUUUACUCUUUGCCAGCAAUCUAUGAGAGGGUCAUUUCAUAAAGCCCUCUCGUUUAGGUAACUGGGUGAAUGCUGGUGCCAUUCACUGUGACAAAAUGCAGAAGGAAGGAUGCCUGGGGAUGGAGACAUUCGUGUGAAAGUGAGUGUGCAACUGAGGGGGUGAGGCCUGGGUUUGAGAUUUGGGCCCCAUCAGUGAGCAGACAGCGAGGCCUCAGUUGUGGAGGAGCUCAUCCAGGGUGGAUAUGGAGUGUGAGAGGGAAAGGCUGCCAGGACAGAGCCCCAGGGAAUACCAGCCCAUGAGGGACAGGAGCUGAGAAGGCGCCGCCAGAGAGGUUGGAGGGAACCCAGCCAGGCUAGAGAGCUGCCUGUCAUAUCUUCCCGGCCUCUGGAACCUUACACUUCGGCAGUCCUGUUGCUCAUUCCUUCUGCCUGGGGAAAAACCCUUCCCACCCCACCCCUUCUCAGCUACCCCUUGUACCUGCCAAAUUCCCACUCAUCCUGCAAGUCAUAAGUGCCAGUUCCAUGAAACCUCCAGCUGCUCAGAUGAUUCCAGAGCCCCACCCACUCUCCCUCCACAGAAGUUUGACUCUCCCUGCCUAGGAACAGUUAUCUCAUCGGCGCUGGGCACUGGAAUGGUUUGCAUGUUUCUUUCCCAGUUACUACAAACUCCUGGAAGGGUAGCACGCUGUCUUUCACCUCAUAACCCUAGACCUAGCAACCAACCACUGUGUUGAAUGAAGAGACGAGGUGAGUAGACCCUAAUGAAUGACAGACCCCAGUAACACUGAAGACCCAUAGGCUUCUUUCCUGCUUUCUUUACGACUUGCACAAACUGGUCAGGGGCGCCCAAGAUAAAACAGCCUAAACUCCUCAGGUCCUGCCUUCUGGUUCUCCAGCCUCCUGGGCUGCUGCGGCUAUUCCCAUUCACAUUGCGCUCAGGGCAGGAGAGCAGCGGGGGUGGGCGUAGGGAUAGGGCGAGCCCUUCCUGGGGCUGCAUUAGCCUAGACGCAGUGGUUCCGCCAAGAGAGCCCCGGCACCAGCAGCAUCACCAUCUCCUGGGAACUGGCUAGAAAUGCAAGCUCUCGGCCCCAUCCUAACCCCACUGAAUCAGAAACCCUGGGGGCGGGCCCAGCAAUCUGUUUUAAUUAGUCCGUCAGGUGAAGUCAAGUUAGAGCAGCACUGGACUACAGCAAGCGGGGGAGAAGGAAGUUCAGCACCCAGGUGGAGACUGCGAUUAGGCCCCCAAGGCGCUUAGAGCAGACAGAGGGAGAGAGGCUCCUUUUAGGAGCGGGUUUGGCGGGCGCCACCCCAAGCGGCCAAGGGCGGAGCCUCUUUUAGGCGACUGCUCCCGCGAGGUCAGAGCCGGGCUGUGCCGCUGCCCCCGGGACUAGAAAGGGAAAUCUCCUUGCUAGAGGAGGAAGCCCUAAGAACUCAAGGGAGAUAGGGGUGGCAGGGGCAUUUCCCUGGAUGCCUGGAGCAUGGAGGGUGCGAAAUAAGGAGGCUUUCCUACCCCAUUGAUGAGCUGAAGUUGAUUCCGCACGGGGGAGGAAAGGGACAGGAAGCAUAAUUGGAUGUGCAAGCCUGUGGUUCUUCAGGAAGUUAACACGUGGAACUAACACUGUUGGAUGCUGCUGAACUCUCAGGUGAUUGAUGUGACUAACCUCCUCAGGUACUUGACCUCUCUCCUCUUCAGCUAAUGAGUAAUUUGUCCUUAUUUAAGAAUGAGAUUUGCGUAUGGGGACCUUUUGCAGAAAUGUAAAUACAUCCCGAUAUCCAUACCUGGGCUUGGUUUUAAAGACUGAAGGUAUUGGGAGGUUUAUUUGAUUUUGGAUGUAUUACUUCUUUGGUCAUGUAUUGGCUAAAAAUAUUAUCAACUAAUAUUUGCAUAGAUCUUUCCCUUUUCAAAGCACUUCCACACACAUUAUCCUUCUGUCUGCACAGAGUGGCAAAUACAACAAAUGUGCAAAUGUUAACUUUCCUUAUCUAUGACAUAGUUUUUAUUAUCAUCACCAUUUUACAGAUAAGAGAACUGGCGCUCAGUGAGGUAAUUUGUCCAAGGUCAUUCACUACUACAUGUCAGAAUCCAGGACCUACAAUCCAGGACCUCUGAAAUUAGCCCACGAAUGCUAGAGCUGAUACCAGGCAGAAGCUGGCAUUUUGCUCUCAGGGAAAGGGAGGUUCAUUAGUGGGUUGCUUGUGGACCUGCAUUGGUGAGUGUGACACGUGUAGGAUAUCUAUGCUAUGCGUUUUUGGGUUUUUUGUUUUGUUUUGGUUUUGGGUUUUGGUUUUUUUUUUUUCUUUGAGAUGGAGUCUCACUCUUGUCACCCAGGCUGAAGUGCAGUGGCGCGAUCUGGGCUCACUGUAACCUCUGCUGCCCAGGUUCAAAUGAUUCUCCUGCCUCAGACUCUCGAGUAGCUGGGAUUACAGGCACCUGCCACCGCGCCCAGCUAAUUUUUGUAGUUUUAGUAGAGACUGGUCUUGAACUCCUGACCUCAUGAUCCACCCACCUCGACCUCCCAAACUGCUGGGAUUACAUGAGUGAGCCACCGCGCCCGGCUACUACGUUUUUCAAUAGCCCCGCAAAUGUCCUCAUGUUUUAUAACUAGUUUUGUGACUGCAUUUUGAAUUUUUUGAAUCAAAUAGGCUUCAUUACUUGCAAGGAGAAUGCAAGGGUACCCAUCAUAAUGGAAGGAAUACCCAACAGGGAUAAAGGCCUUGGUGCCCCUGAGCCUUGGUUGACAGGGUGUAUCAGUCAGGAUCAGUUAGAUUGUGCUGGAGUAAUAGACAAUCCCCAAAUCACAGUGGCUUUACAUAACAAAAGUGUAUUUCUCAAUCACAAAACGUGUCCAUUAUGAGUCAUUAGGAGCUCUGUUUCCCGUAAUCACUCGGGCAUCCAGGCUGCUGCAACUGGACAUGCAUCUCCUCAACCCUGAAGGCAGGAAACAAGAAUGGGGCAAAUCUAGCACUGGCUCUUAAAGCUUUUCCCUGGAAGUGACACACAUCACUCCUGCUGUCAUCUCACUGGCCAAAGAAAGUUACAAGGGGGCAGGGAAGUGCAAUAAGUACAAUCCUGCUAUGUGCAGGAAGGAUAAGCAGAAGUAUUUGGUUAACAGCACUAACACACAGGGAGUGUGUGUGAGUGUGUGAAUGUAUAUGUGUAUAUUUGAGGUAUGUGCAAUUACACAUACUGCCCAUUUCCAGAGCAUUCCUCCCUCCUGGCGACACAUAUUAGAGAUUCCUAGUGUAAAGGACUGUCUUACCUUGCACUAGAGCAGGUUCAGAGAUUUAAACUAAAGCGAAAAAAAAUAAGAGUUGAAGGAAACAUAGUAGAAGAGGUGAGUGGCUGUGGGACAAACUCAGUAGAAAUUCGUUUGUAAAUAGAGAAAGAAAUCCAGGAAAGGAAGGUACUCAGGGUGUAUGACACAAGGAGCCUGCCUACUAAAGGAAACUUCUAAAACAGCGUAGCUUUAGCAGAGGCGUUUCCUGCCGCCUUGCCAUUAACUCCCACUCAUCCUUCCUGGUUAAACUCAGGUGACGCUUCAGGAAGCCUUUGAUGAUCUCUCAAGAUUGGGUAAGGGGCCCACCAAUCAGAUCACAGGUAUGCCUGGGUCUGUCCCAUCCCCUCAGCUGUGGACAGGACCACAUCUUACUCAGUGCCAGCUGCUAUAUAGAGAAUACAUUAGAGGAGGGUGUCAGAAUAGAGGCAGAGAGAGCAGCUAGAAGGCUGUUGCAGAAACCUAAGUGAGAAAACAAAAAUGAUGGUCUCCAUUAGGGUAGUGGUGGUGGGGAGGGAGAGAGGUAUCAAGAAAGAUUUACGAAGUCAAACCCACAGGACGAGGGCAUAGGAAGGGAGGUUUCUGGAAGAACAACAGGGUAGUUGGUAGUGCCAGGGGGCCCAGAGAAGGUGGAAGUUGAUCAAUGAGGUCAGCAAGAACACAUCCCAUUUGAGGUCCAUUUUGACAGCGCCCACAGAGAGACCCAGGAGCAGCCCCUGUCACAGCCUGAGAUUCCGGGGGGGGGGAGGGGGGCGGUGGAAACCAGGUCCUAUGAGCUGCCUCUUGGUUAAACUCUAACAUCGAAUCAAGGUUAGUAUUUUCUUGUUUAAAAAAAUAUCAAGCCGGGCCUGGUGGCUCACGCCUGUAAUCCCAGCACUUUGAGAGGCCAAGGCAGUCGAAUCACUUGAGCUCAGGAGUUCAAAACCAGCUUGGGCAAUAUAGUGAGACCUCAACUUUACAAAAAAAUUAGCCAGGUGCAGUGGUGCACACUUUGAGGUGAGAGGAUCACUUGAGCCCGGGAGGUUGAGGCUUCAGUGAGCCAAAAUUGUGCCAUUGCACUCCAGCCUGGGCAAUGGAGUGAGACCCUGUCUCAAAAAAAAAAAAAAAAAAAAAAGUAUGUGUGUUGGGGGAGCGGGAAACACAGAAAAUACAUAUAGUAUAAAAGUGGUGAAAUUCCUGAACUACACAUCAUAGGAAUCCAUUCAGAACAGUGCUUUAUAGAAAGAGCAGAGCAUCCCUGAAAGAUUGGUUCAACUUCAAUUGGCUUGUCCCCUGAUCUUGUUUCCAUGUGUUGUUUCUGUCCCAUCUCCUGCUAAGUAGGAGCCUGCUUGUCCCAUUUGAGACUUGAAGAUGAUAUCAACCCCUUUCACCUUCGAGGCUUCCCUUCCUCAUGGCCUUUUGUGGGUGAGGAUUGAGUCCCAUUUGUAGGUACUUGACAGUGCUGGGGCACCCAUCCUCAGAGACCCUGUUCUUCCCACUUGGAUGUAGUGCUCCCCUAUCCCCCACGAUAUCUUCCCCCUUCCCCAUGCACUGAGAUGCUCCCGCUGGUUCCUCGAGUUCCAUUUUCAGCUCCUGUGUGUACCAGUUUUUGGCUGCAGGUGAGGUAACUCCCCCCUCCUGGCCUCCUUCCAAUCUCUAAAGAUGGGACUCAUGAUACCUCCUAAGCAGACUCCUUUGCAGAGGAUCGAAUGAAGCCAACCUAUGCCAAAGUCCCGCCUCAGACCUUGGUGGACAGUAGGCACUCAAACUGUCCUAUACUUUCAUUUCCAUUGAGUCCCCUGAUUCUUCCUCCCACUUAUCAGAGAAAUGGUCUUACCCUAGUCUAGCCAUAGGUAACCAUGACAACCAGAGUUAAACUAUAUACAAUAAUCAAUGCAGACAUUAUGUAUUACAGAGGGUCAUCAGAUAUAAUGGCAUUCAGGUGCCCAGGAUAAGAUUUGAUAUUAAGUAGGAGCCCCUAGCCAGCCUCCCCAGGUGGAGACAGUUUGCCAAGUGCCUCCCUUGUUCUCUCUUUCCCUGCAUAUUCAAUCAACACUAGGUCCUACCAGCUCCAGACUAAACUGUCCUGAACUGGUGCCCUUUCUCAGGCUUCCUGCUCUCCCCUUUUCAGCCUGCCUCCCUUCCCCUCACUCUGUAGUUUCCCCUCACUCUGUAGUCUCCCCUCUCACAGACACAGAUUUCGUUGCCGUUGAUUCAGACCUCCUGGGCGUGGGCAGGCAGGGUCCUGGAAUUGAGAUGACGAAGUGUCUGGGCCAUCCUGUAGCCAGUCAGGAAUAUAAGUUUCAAACUCCUGCUACUCAAAGUGUGGUUGGUCUGUGGGCUUGCAGCAGCGGUACCACUGAGAGUUUCUGGAAGUGCACUAUCUCAGCAGGCCUCAGAGCUACUGAAUCAGACUUUUUUUGUUUUUUGUUUUUUUCCUCAAGAGACAGGGUCUUACUCUGUUGCCCAGGCUGGAAUGCAGUGGCCUGAUCAUAGUUCACUGCAGGCUUCAACUCCUGGGCUCAACUGAUCCUCCUGCCUCAGCCUCCUCAGUAGCUAGGGCUACAACUGUGUGCUACCCACCCUGGACUAAUUUUUAAUUUUUUUGUCUCACUAUGUUGCCCAGACCAGUCUCAAACUCCUGGCCUCAAACCAUCCUCCCACAUCAGCCUCCCCAACUGUUGGGAUUAUAGGCAUGAGCCACUGCACCUGGCCAGAAUCUGCAUUUUGACAAGACUUUCAGGUGAUUCCUAGGCACCCUAAUAAUUAAGAAGCUCUGCUUUAAAAUCCCUCAGAAGGUAGAGUUAGUUAGGAUAGAGAUAAAAAGGACACAGGCAUCCCUCGUAGAGCUGGGAGAGGCCUUCUUGGAAAUGCCUGCACUAAUAGAUCGAGUCAUAUGGUGUUAACACCAGCAUCAUUCUGGGGAGAUACGCUGUAUUCUCAACAUUGUACUAUUUAUCUGCUAAACCAGGGAGGGAUGUGAUUAGCAGAUGUCUCGGUCUUCUUGCCAUUCUUUAGGACAUCGACAUGACACCCAGCCAUCUCAAACCAUGUUAAAAUUGAAUUUUAACAUCCAGCCUCUAGAAAACAAUCUAUUUAUAGUGAAUCAAAAAUCUGUAAGAUAGGCCAGGCGCGGUGGCUCACACCUGUAAUCCCAGCACUUUGGGAUGCCGAGGCGGGCAGAUCGCUUGAGGUCAGAAGGUUGAGACCAUCCUGGCCAACAUGAUGAAACCCUGUCUCUACUAAAAAUGCCAAAAAUUAGCUGGGCAUGGUGGUACGUGCCUGUAGUCCCAGCUACUCGGGAGACUGAGGCACAAGAAUCGCUUGAACCCGGGAGGCAGAAGUUGCAAUGAGCCCAGAUAACACCAGUGUACUCUAGCCUGGGCGACAGAACAAGACUCUGUCUCAAAAAAAACAAAACAACAACAACAAAAAAAAAAACCUGUAAGAUAGAAAAUAGGGUGUUAAAAGCUGAAAGAGGCCAAAGGGGAACUGACAGAUUGGCCACUCGGACAGGAGCAUGCAGCGGACCAAAGGCAUGUGAGCGAGGUGAUGGUGGCCACUCAGAUCCAUAGACCCAUGAGCAGCUUCAUGGCUGCUAGAAAAAAAGAGGAAGAAGGACAAUGAAGUGCAGGAAGCCUGGAAGCAACCCAUGAAGUCUGGGUGAAGAGCUUAGGUUUAUAAGCACAUGGCUGAUCUGUGUAGAAAAGGUAAAUGCAGUGUUUUUGUUGUUGUUGUUGUUUUGUUUUUGUUUUUUAAUGUCUCAGGGGCACAAGGGAGAGGCUGCCCCUUGGCCAUGAGAACCCUCUUUGAAGGUAAACAGGUAAAUUCCUUUAUGCAGCAUGUUGCCAGGUCUGCUGCUUCCUGUGGGCACUCCUGGGGCAAGGGCACCAACAUUAAGACUGAGAGAAAAACCACAGGAUUAGGGUUGUCAGAUUUAGCAAAUGGAAACACAGGACUUCCAGUUGAAUUUGAGUGUCAGAUAAACAACAAAUAAUUUUUUAGUAUACAUAUGUCCCAAAUAUUACAUGCCAGAGUAACCCUCCUCAAGAGCAGAGCCUGUCCCCGAAGCACUUGACCAGGAGAAACUUGAGCUGAAGGAAAGUUUCUCCCUAGGGCUGAGAGAGCCCAGUGGUACUAUCCUAAGACCCACCCUAUUUUUCAAAACAGGAUGGAAGUGGGCUUUGUUAGUUUUGGGGUGGGGCAGUCUUUUGUGAGAGGCUAUGCCAUAUUGUUUGCUUUGUAAAAUGUUUUGCCCUGCAAAAUGUUUUUUACGUUAUGCUGUAUUGGGCAAGGUAGUUCAAGGAACAUACACCAUAAAAGCAGUGUAGUUUUGAUAAUUCCAAGUCAGAUUCCUGUAGGAGAUGGACAGUUUCUUUUUUCUUUUUCUUUAUUUUUUUUGAGACGGAGUCUCGCUCUGUUGCCCAGGCUGGAGGGCAGUGGCGCAGUCUCGGCUCACUGCAAGCUCCGCCUUCUGGGUUCACGCCAUUCUCCUGCCUCAGCCUCCUGAGUAGUUGGGACUACAGGCGCCCGCCACCACAUCCGGCUAAUUCUUUUGUAUUUUUAGCAGAGACGGGGUUUCACCGUGUUAGCCAGGAUGGUCUCGAUCUCCUGACCUCGUGAUCCACCCUCCUCGGCCUCCCAAAGUGCUGGGAUUACAGGCGUGAGCCACUGCGCCCGGCCAGGAGAUGGACAGUUUCUUAGUCCGGAACAAUAAAAUCCCAUGUAGCCAGAUAAACUGCUUCUAUAUAACCAGGCAUUUAUUUAUUGAGACUUGUAGAAGAAAAUGUUGGUAACAAUUUACCUCAUCAAGGAACAUUUCUAAGCAUAAAAUCAAUAAAUCCUUUUGUAUGUCAACAAACCAAAUUAAAUGAUAAACUGAGGAAAAAUAUUUACAAAACAAAUGAACAGGAAAGGUGUUAUAUACUUAGUAGGUAAGAAAAGAUGGACACUCAAAAGGGAACAAAAAGGCAAAGGAUGUGAACAUUCACAAAAGAAGGAAUGCAAAUGGCCAAUAAAGACAUAAAAUGUCCAGGCCCGGCAUGGUGGCUCAAGCCUGUAAUCCCAGAACUUUGGGAGGCCGACGUGGGCAGAUCACCUGAGGUCAGGAAUUCGCGACCAGCCUGGCCAACAUGGUUAAACGAAACCCUGUCUCUACUAAAGAAAAAUACAAAAAUUAGCCAGGCAUGGUGGUGUUCCCCUGUAAUUCCAGUUACUCGGGAGGCUGAGGCUGGAGAACUGCCUGAGCCUGAGAGGUGGAGGUUGCAGUGAGCCAAGAUUGUGCCACUGCACUCCAGCCUGGGCCACAGAGCAAGAUUCCAUCUGAAAAAUAAAAUAAAAUAAAAUAAAAACUUUAUUAAUUAAUAACUAUAGCAAACUGGCAGAUCACAAAAUAGAAAUACUCAGUUUUGCAAAGACUAUAAGGAUCUAAGUACAAGGAUCUUCUUGGAGGACUUAUAACAGCAAAAAAAAUUAAAUUAAAAUAAACUUAAAUGUUCACAUUAAAGAAUGAUUAAGGCCAGGUCCAUGGCUCACACCUGUAAUUGCCACACUUUGGGAGGUCAAGGCAUGAGGAUCACUCAAGCCCAGGAGUUUGAGACCAGUCUGGGUGACAUAGGGAGACCCCAUCUCUACAAGAAAAAAAAAAGAAAAAGAAAAAGAAAAAAAAAUUAGCUGGACAUGGUGGGUGUGCCUGUGGUCCCAGCUGCUCUGGAGGCUGAGAUGAGAGGAUUUUUUGAGCUCAGGAAAUUGAGGCUACAGUGAGCCAUGAUUGUGCCAUUGCAUUCCAGCCUGGGUGACAGAGCAAAAUACUGUCUCAAAAAAAUUACAUAAAAUAUACACGAGGAUUGGAAGCAAAUAUAUCAAAAUAUAAACAUUGGGUCUCUGGAUUAUUUUUGUUUUUUUCUUAAUACCUGUUUUCCCUAAAAUUUCUACAACAAAGAGGUAGUAGCAUUCCUAUCAUUGAAAAAUAGAGAAUUAUGUUUGAAAAAGAAGACAAGUGGACCAUCAAUGCCUUUAAGUAGGUCUUUGAGAGAGAAGGAAGCAAAUUCUGAUAAUUCUCUAAUAGAAUGACCAAGACUUUUCACAGAGGAAUCACUUGGAGAACUUGAGGAAUACCAAUGCCAAGGCCCCACUUCCAGAGAUUCUGGUCGUAUGGACCUGGUGCCCACCCCAUGGGGUCUUUGGCAAUGUCAGGUCAUGCCCCGAGGCGUGGGGACUCCAAUGUGAAGCCAGGCUGGGAACAACUGCUUGCAGGAGUGAUCAGGAGUUUUGGAGUUUAGGAUCCUGUGGCCUGUUGGAGGAGCUGCUGCAGGAGGAACGGCAAGACCUGGUUUCAAGCCUAGUAAGUGGUCCUUUAGGCACAUAAUUUAAGUGAAUCUUUGUGUGUCUAUCUGUAAAAUGAGAAUAUUUAAUGUCUACCACAAGAGUUGUGGCUUCGAGGAGAGGAUAAAUGAGGAAGUAGUGUGUGAAAUAGAAAGCAUAUACAAAUGUACUCUUGUUAGAACCUGGAAAUUCAGACUAUAGCAAUGACUUUUGAUCAGUGGAAUAUCCUUGACAACACUGGGGCAGAUGCAAAUAAGCAGGUUUGUUUCAAAACUGUCCAUCCUAUAAUUUGAUUUGAUUUGCAGAUCUUUUAGGCAGGUGCUCUCAAACGUGGAUGCCUGGGGCAGUCCUAGCCAGAGGGCUCAUGAGCAGGGGACAGCAGCCAAUAGAUCUGGGUUGGUUCAGAUCAUUUGGUCGUUCCUGCUUUGAAAAGUGGCUGGUCUCCAGGAGUCAAAACCUUGUUCUCCUGACAAUGUGCCUUUGCACUUUUAACAAACACACCAGAAUGUCUACUUCCAAAUAAAUAUUCUUAUCUAAAUUGUUUCCUUGUGAGGUUGUAUUACCAUAGCUUAAAAUGUCUUGGGAAUUCCUCGUUUGAGAUUGCCUUUAUCUAAGCUACAUCUCUUUUUUCUGAGUAUUUUCAAUCAGUGAAUUUAUUCUCCAUCCUCUGAAGAAGAGCUUAAUUUUAGAAAGCAGCCAAAAAUAUCUUUCAGAACCAAACCUGGUGAUUAAGGUGGUAGUCUAACCUAGGUAAGACAUUUUAUUUUUUAAGUAGAAAGGUCACUUGUAAGGUACAUGUGUAUCUGUCUUGCUACUCACUGUACUCUGUGCCUGACAUACAGACACUCAGUGUGUUCUUGUUGAAUGAUGAACAGAGCCUGGCUCUACUGGGACCCAUAAACUGGCUCCAAAGGCAACUCCGAAGAGGUUUUUGAGCAACGCCAGCCUAUUUGGCAAUAAUAAUUUUUAGCCUGUAUGUUGAUUAGAAGUCAGUCCCUUUCCUUUAUAAGUAUUCUACAUCUAUACCUUAUGCAUUUGAUCAAGGAGAAACUGUGGUAGUUCCUUGUACCUUACUGAGGCUAAUGCUGGACUUAGUCUUCUAAAGCAAGCACUAAUCAGUGACAUUGGACAAAUCCAGGCAUUUUUGGAAUUAUUUUGCAUGCCAACCCAAACCACAGAACAUCUGAGCAUGUGGUGGGUUAACAAGGACAAUGCCUGAAACCCAACUCACUUUUUCACACAAUGAUUUCAAGAUGCUGACAUUUGAGGUGUACAGAGUUAAGCAGCUCAUAGGCAGGGCAGCAAGCACUGGCUUGAGUGUCAGGACACCCGGGCUAUUCCAGCUCUGCUGCUAACUAGCUGUGUCUGCUUGGGAAAAACGUGUCUUACACACUCCCAUCUGUACAAACACACCCUUAGUCUUUAUUUACGUACCUAUACAAUGAUCUAGCACCAUUAAAAUCAUCAUUCUAAACUGAAAAAAGGCAGACAACAGUAGACACCCCACCGGCAAGGUCUGCCCAAGUACUGGGGAGAUUUUUGGUGCUGCAAAAACCAGUUUGAGGCCGGGCUCCGUGGCUCACACCUGUAAUCCCAGCACUUUGGGAGGCCGAGGCGGGUGGAUUGCUUAAGGUCAGGAGUAUGAGACCAGCCUGACCGACGUGGUGAAACCCUGUCUCUACUAAAACUACAAAAUUAGCCGGGUGUUGUGGCGCAUGCCUGUAAUCCCAGCUACUCUGGAGGCUGAGGUGGGAGAAUCACUUGAACCUGGGAGGAGGAGAUUGCAGUGAGCUGAGAUCGCACCACUGCACUCCAGCCUGGGUGAGAAAGCGAGACUCCAUCUCAAAAAAAAAAAAGCCAACAACAACCACCACCACCACAAAAAAAACCCAGUUUGAGCAGAGAGAAAGUCUCUGCUCUGAAGGAGAAAAAAAGCCAAAGAUGAAGCUCACUGCUGCUGGCACUGAAACUGAAGGGAACACGCAGGUCAUCUGAGGUCAAGUUCAGGGCAUGCAGCCAGCCACCAGGCAGGAAGGAAGCAGAGUGAAUGCCUGCCUGCUCUCCCAGCCCUCCACCUUCUGAGCAGAAGUCCCACACCGGUCCCCUUUGCUGGGUCUCCCAAGGGACCUCAGAGACUCCUUCCAGACCCGGGCAUUUGGGCUCUGGCCUCAAAGAUACAGCCUACGUAGAAAUGCUGAAAGAAACAGAUAAGACAACAGUGUGAGCAAUGGAGGCUUGGCUGGCCUGGCUUGUCUUUGCCAAGCACUCUAUUUAAAACAUUUGAGCAUUUCUUGCCUGCUAUUGCCCUCUACUCUAGCCUUGCGGUCUCCCUGCCCAACCCCACCCCCUCACAGGCUCUUUUCUUAGCUCCCUGCCUUUGCUUAUGGUGUUUACUCCAAAUCACCCUCAACCCAGUCUUGCUCUAAAAAUCCUACUUCACUUAAUGCCCAGCUAGAAUGCCAUGUAAUCCAGGAAGCUCCUUAGCUGGAAGCAGCACUCAUUUUGGUCCACAGUGGUAUCACGCUUAGGGGCAUGAGGUCUGAUCCCACAAGGACCUCGACGCACCCCACCCUUCACCAUCACAUCCUGUGUGUUCCUUCCUUUGCCCAUGCUGCUCCCCUGCUUGGACCGUCCUUCCCACCCUACCUGCCCGAAUGGUCCUCACCUCACCCUUCAAGGCUCAGCUCAGCUGUACUUUGUGAAGCACUCACCAGCUCUUUCUUUCUCUCCACUCACAUGCACCUACCAGUUCCAUUUACUGAGUGGCUACUCUGCCCAGAAGUUUGUCUACAAUAUUUCUAAUUCUUGGUACCACUUGAAAAAUAGUUGCAAAAUUAGUUUCAUUUUCAGAUUUAAGGAAAACAGAAGCUCAGAGAGGCAAGUUGUCCAAGUUGCGCUGCUGGUGAGUGGCCCAGCCAGGAUUUGGAACCAGAUUUGUGUGAUGUCUAAACCCAAGUCCUCCAUGUACUCCAUGCUGCUUAUUCAUUCAUAAGGUGGAUAUUUUAAGCAGGAGACUGUCAGGACCUUAAAGAUGGUCUUCCUUGCUUUCAAAGCAAGGGACCUAAAAUAUAGAGAUGUUCAGUGACUUGCCCAGGGUGAUACAGUUUCUCCCAAUCCCCUUCUCUGAUUCCUCCCAUGUGCCAGCGCUGGUGGCCAGGGAACUAUCUAUCACUGCAGAGGCUGUCCAGUACCAGGUAACGUUUGUCCGGGGUCCCCAGUCGUAAGCCAUGGGGCACACACCUGCACUGCAAGCAGGGCCCCAAAUUAGGCAAGAGAGAAUGUUGCAACAAGCUCAGAGCCACAGGAUAUAUUAGCACAAUUGUAUACAAUGAUAAAAUCCUAAACAGUGGCUUCAAAGUUUAUAGCUUUCUGGCCAGGCAUGGUGGUGGCACAUGCCUGUAAUCCCAGCUACUCGGGAGGCUGAGGCAGUAGAAUAGCUUGAAACCAGGAGGUGUAGGUUGCAGUGAGCUGAGAUUGCACCACUGCACUCCAGCCUCGGUGACAGAGCAAGGUUCUGUCUCAAAAAAAACAAAACAAAAGUAGUUUACAGCUUUCUCAUGUAGAAGUCUGAGGAGAGAGUCCAGGGCUAAAGUUGCAGUUCUGUGAAGUCAGGGCCUGAGGCUUCUUCUGUCUUUUGCAAUUCUCUCUUUAUGAGGCACUUCAUGAUUCAAAGUGGCCUCCAGGAUCAUGGGGGAGGGGGUGGCUCUGAGGGCAGAAUCAAAGGGCUCAUCAUCAUCAUCUAUUUCUACCAUCCGUUCUAAGGAUCUUACAGUCACGUAAUCUAGUCCAGAGUCAGAGAGGCUGCUCAGAGCCCACCUGCAGCUGGCCUGGGUCUUAGCGAGUACGUAGCUAAGUAUGUUAGCAAGUAUGUUGCUCGCAGCAUGGAGGGGUAAGGGUGUGGGAGGUGUUUCAUUGCUUAGUGCAAGGGGUCUUUCUCAGGCUCAGCCUGCGUCCCUUUUUCUUCUUUCUUCCUGCUUUCCAUUUGUCCAGUAUCUAUUGAAUUACCCACUCCCAUGUGCCAGGCACUGGAGAUACAAAGUGGGAUAAGACAUAAGCCAUGCUCUAAUAAAGAGACAAAGAGAUGAUUUUAGACCAGGCAUGGUGGCUCACACCUGUAAUCCUAGCACUUUGGGAGGCUGAGGCGAGUGGAUCACCUGAGGUCAGGAGUUUGAGACCAGCCUGGCCAACAUGGCAAAACCCCAUCUCUACUAAAAAUACAAAAAUUAGGCGGGCAUGGUGGCGGGCACCUGUAAUCCCAGCUACUCUGGAAGCUAAGGCAGAAGAAUCACUUGAACCCAGGGGGUGGAGGUUGUACUAAGUCGAGAUCACACCACUUCACCACUCCAGCCUGGGCGAUGAGUGAGAUGCCGUCUCAAAAAAAAAAAAAAAAAAAAAAAAAAGACAGAGAGAGAUGAUUUUAAUACUAUGUGUAAGAAAAACAGAUAAAUGCAAAAGGCAUUUGACAGGAGCUCGAAGGGAGGUGCCUGACACAGCCAGGGUAGAGUCAGCAGAAGCUUCCUGAAGAUGGCAAUUGGGGAUGCCGAGGGGCUUAGAGGUGAAGGGCACUCCAGGGAGAGCGCACAGCAUGAGCAAAAGCAAUGAGAGUGUGUGUGUGUGGGGGGGUAGGGCAACCAUGAGUUUAAUGUAAACACAAGCAGAGGAGGGUUUGGAAGGAUGUGUGCUUGCUCAGGGCCCCCGGGGGGCCAAAGGCACAUUCUGGAGGCACCUGGUGGCGUUCAAGGCCCUCUGGCUCCUCUGUGGAGUAGGGAUUUGGGGAGGCCAUAGCAAGAGGCAGAGAGCCUGGGUGGGAGGGCUGGGUUAGGAGUGGAGGUAGGAGAGCAGGCAGAUCUGAGAAAUGUUAGCGGGAAAUUGGUAGCACCAGACAUUUGCCUGGCUGCUGGAGAUGAGUGACAGAGAGGAGUCAGAGGAUCCUAGUUUUCUAGCUGGGUGGCUGGAAGGAUGAUGGGGUCACUGCUGAUAUAGAGAAUACAGGAUCUACUGUCAUGCCACCCUGAAUGCACCUGAUCUCAUCUGAUCUUGGAAGUUAAGCAGGGUCGGGCCUGGUUAGUAUUGGAUAAGAGAAUAAUACAGGGUCUUCUCCCAGAAACCUUUCUUGCCUUGGGGAAUACUCCCAGCUUCACAGUAGGAUAUAACCUUUCCUAUGUUGCCUUUUGCAUAGCUGAUCUUAAAGACAUGCACAUGGGCCCUUUUCUUUCCUUCCUUCCUUCCUUUUUUUUUUUUUUUUUUUUUUGACAGAGUUUUGCUCUUGUAGCCCAGCCUAGAGUGCAGUAGCAAGAUCUCAGCUCACUGCAACCUCCACCUCCCAGGUUCAAGCGAUUCUUCUGCCUCAGACUCCCAAGUAGCUGGGAUUACAGGUGCAUGCAACCACGCCCAGCUAAUUGUUUUUGUAUUUUUAGCAGAGACAGGGUUUCACCAUGUUGGUCAGGCUGGUCUCGAACUCCUGACCUUAAAUGAUCCACCUGCCUUGGCCUCUGAAAGUGCCAAGAGAUUACAGGUGUGAGCCACCAUGCACGGCUGGGCCCUUUUCAUUUGAAAGAUUUUAAUUCAAGUGUCCUCAGGAGAUGAAGUUCCCUUCACUCUGGUGUAGUGAAUGAAAUAUAGGAACACAGUUUGUACCAUGGAGUCUCCAGGCCAAACCAAGCUGGAGUUUCAGCUUAGGUAACAAAUGUUACCUAAGCCCAGUGGUUCCUAAUGGAAGAUUUGGUUCUAGAAAACCCAUCUGUAGUAAACAUCUGCCAUUCUUUUUGGAGAACUAGUAAAUCAUUCCCCUUCCUGUGUCUGAGGACUUAUUCACCUUGGUUGGGGAUAGACCCCACCUCUCACAACGAAGAUGUGAUGUCAGAUACUGUAUUUCUCAGACUCCCUUGCACGUACUUGGCAUGUCAAGGGCAUGUGGUCUAGGUUCUGCAAGUCAGAUGUACCUACCAGAGUCUUGGGUCCAUGAGGAGUAUUCUGUGACAGCAGUAGUAAUGACAGGGAAAUCACAUUCUCAUAACAGCCAUAGUGGACCCUCCUGGGGACUUGCAAGUGAUGCACCCUAAAACCUAAGCUUCCUUAGGUUCACAGUAACUUCCUGCUGUUUGCGAUUAAGGACUGUGACUAGUGGCAUAUCAGUCCAACAGGGUACAUGGCUAAGGCAAAAGUGGAGUCUAGGAGAGCACAGACAUUGUUAAGAGGACAGUAAGUGAAACCAUUUAGCAAGAACAGAGGAUUCUUUCACAGGGGUGGGGAAAGAUAAGGCUGGAGGGCUCCAAAAGCCCACUUAAGGAGCCUGGUCAUCAUCUUCUAAGAGGUAUCAACAUUGUUUUAAUGAUUUUUAUUUUGGAAUAAUUUUAGAUUUACAGAAAAAUUGCAAAGACAACACAGAGUUUCUGUGUAUCCCUCAUCCAGAUUCCCCUAAUGCUAACAUCUCACAUGACAUGGUACACUUGUGAAAACUGACAAGUUACAUCAAUUAAACUCCAGACUUGAUUUGGAUUUCACUAGUAUUUUCCACUAACGAACUUGAUCUGUUCCAGGAUCCAAUUCAGGAUACCACUGUGCAUUUGGAUACCAACUUUUUUUUUUUUUUUUUGAGUUGGAGUUUCGCUUUUGUUGCCCAGGCUGGAGUGCAAUGGCACCAUCUUUGCUCACCACAACCUCCGCCUCCUGAGUUCAAAUGAUUCUCCUGCCUCAGCCUCCCAAGCAGCUGGGAUUACAGGCAUGCGCCACCACACCCAGCUAAUUUUGUAUUUUUAGUAGAGAUGGGGUUUCUCUAUGCAGACUGGUCUCGAACUCCAGAUCUCAUGAUCUGCCCACCUCAGCCCCCCAAAGUGCUGGGAUUACAGGUGUGAGCCACCACGCCCGGCCACCAACAUUUUUAAAGAAGAAUAUUAACAUGAUUAAAGGUUUUUAGGCUGGGUGUGGUGGCUCACACCUGCAGUCCCAGCACUUUGGGAGGCUGAAGUGCGUGGAUCACUUGAGGUCAGGAAUUUGAGACCAGCCUAGCCAACAUGGUGGUGUUUACUAAAAAUACCAAAAAAAAAAAAAAAAAAAAAAUUAGCCAGGCAUGGUAGUGUGCACCUGCAGUCCCAGCUACGUGGGAGGCUGAGGCAGGAGAAUCACUUGAACCCAGGGGGCGGAGGUUGCAGCGAGCUGAGAUCAUGCCACUGCACUCUGGCCUGGGCGACAGAGCAACGCUGUCUCAAAAAAUAAAAAUAAAAAUAAAUUUAAAAAAAAUAAAGGUGUUUUAAGAAAAUCAUCUGAUAGCAACAUAAAGGGUGAGCUGGGAAGUGGAGUAGAAGGCAUCUGUAAAGACACUCCAGAACCUUCACCAAGCUUCCACAUACAUUCUAAUGGCUAGUGCCUGAAGGGCACUUUAUGAAGGUGCAGUUGCUGAGAAGAGAAAAUCUAGCCCCCCAGAAACAUCUCUCCACCUGUUCAGGGACCCAGGGGCCAAAGGCACAGCUAAGAUGCACCUGGUGGCCUCCACCUAGCAGUGCUGGCAAACUAGGUUUUCCUGCCCAGGCUACAAAAUUUGGCUGGUAAAUCCAGACAGGCAGCCAAGGAAAUGCUUGCUUGCCUUCUUUUCUGAAAAUCUAGUCUUAUCUCCCUUAUGUAAUGGUUUGGUGUUAUGCAGAGAACAGGCUCUGGAGUCAGGAUGGACCUAGGUGUGAGUCCCAGCGCUGUCAGUUACUGUGGGACUCUCGUUGAGUUACUGAACUCUGAGCUUCAGUUUCCUCACUGGUAAAAACUGGCACCUUAAACCUCCUUCACAGGAUUAUUGAGAGGGUUGAAUAACAUUUAGAAAGUGUUCAGUAGGGUAGCUGGCACACAGUAGGCAUCUGAUAAUCAUCAACUCCUUUGACAAUUUAAGAGUAGAGUCCAGGCCCCAAAUUUCUUGCAUAUUCUCAGUGCUUAGUACACAGAAGGGACUUCCUCAAUUGAUGAUCGUAAUAUAGAGCUCACAAAUAACCCAGGAACCUGAGAAAGGGCGGAGCGUGUCUCCAGUCAAUAAUUUCUUUAUUUAAAAGUCUAUGUUAGGCACUCAUGAAACAGCAAUAAAUAAAUAAAUGCCAGGCAUUGUACUAAAUGACCAAGACAUGGUCUAUGUCAAGAAGGUCAAGGCCAAGGACAUCAAAGAGAUGUCUCCAGACAACUUUCAUUCAGGUAUGACACGUUUGACAGAAGUUUAAUAAACAGGGUGCUCAAGGGCACAAAGACUGGACAUGGUGUGGGGUGAGGGAAGGGCUCCACAGAGAGAGGAAUGGUGGGCUUGGGCCUGGCAGGGUGAGUAGUUCUUCCAGUGUAAAAGCUUGGGGUGGUGGGUGGGGGGUGGGAGAGAAAGAGAGAGAGAGAAACAUUUUGUCAUGUGGGAAAACACAUCUGAAGCUAUGGGUGGUCUCGUGGGGUUUAUGGUAGGAGUGAUGGGAGAUAGGGUUAUAAAAACAUGGUAGCUCUCAUACCUCCACAUAGGAGAGGCUGAGGGGCAGCUCUCUGGUGGCAGGGGUGGGGCAGGUGACCUGACCUAGCAACCACUGUUCUUUUUUAUACAUCAUUUAGUUGAUGUGGCUUGGGGAAGAAAUGAUUACUGGUAGUAGUAAUUGGGGGGCAGGGGAGGGGCCAUUCCUGCCAUUCCUAGGCAUGGCCACUGCUACAAUGGGGACCAUAUGACUGCUAUGGAAGAGGAGGAGAGGUGGGAUGAAUGCUGGGGAGUCAACCACAAUUUCCACUACACCUUCAACUAGAGAGACAGAAACAGGUGCAGAGAAGAUUUGAAAGAUUUCAGAGAUGAAUAGGCAGAAUUUGUUGAGAAUGAGUGUAAGUGGGGGGUCAAAGAUAACACCAAGGUUUUUAAUGUGGCCAACGGG
Molecule: long non-coding RNA, 20862 nt
Filed under: Homo sapiens (human)
Lineage: Eukaryota; Metazoa; Chordata; Mammalia; Primates; Hominidae
Source: RNAcentral